GAUGAACGCUGGCGGCGUGCCUAAUACAUGCAAGUCGAGCGAACAGAUAAGGAGCUUGCUCCUUUGACGUUAGCGGCGGACGGGUGAGUAACACGUGGAUAACCUACCUAUAAGACUGGGAUAACUUCGGGAAACCGGAGCUAAUACCGGAUAACAUAUUGAACCGCAUGGUUCAUUGGUGAAAUGCGGCUUUGCUGUCAGUUAUAGAUGGAUCCGCGCCGUAUUGGCUGGUUGGGAAGGUAACGGCUUACCAAGGCAACUAUACGUAGCCGACCGGUGAGGGGGAUAGCCGACACUGGAACGUGACCGCGGUCAUGGCUCCUACGAGAGGCAGCAGACGGGAAUGUGCGGCAGUAGGCGAAAGCCUGGCGGAGCGACGCCAAGUGAGUUGUGAAGGUCUUCGGAUCGUAAAGCUCUGUUAUCAGGGAAAAACAAAUGUCUAAGUAAAUGUGCACAUCUUGACGGUAACUGGUCAGAAAGCAACGGCUAACUACGUG
RNAcentral lists this ribosomal RNA (497 nucleotides) under uncultured bacterium. Its description in RNAcentral is "partial 16S ribosomal RNA". It matches the Rfam family "Bacterial small subunit ribosomal RNA", at positions 28 to 507 of the family's 1533-position model. The record is from RNAcentral.